GUUUUUGGUAUUGCAUAUCAUUUAAAGAAAAUUUUAUAGUUAUAAAAAAUAGAAUUAAAAAGUAGAAAAAUUUAUAUUUUUAUUGUUUCAUAAUAAAAAUUAUAAUUUUUAGGGUUGAAAAGUCGAUUUUUGAGAUAUCUGUUUUGUUUUUAUUUAUUAGAAAUUUAUAAAAAGGUAAUUUUAAUUUUUGUAGAAAGUAAAAGUUGAAGUAUUUUUAUUUUUAGUUUUAUAACUGUUUAUACAAAUUAUGUUUGUUUAGUUUUGGUUUAAAAAUGUGUUUAUUAAAAUAUUUAAUAAAUUUAUAAUUUUAGAAUUAGUAGUUUAUUUAAAGAUUUUAUUGAUUUUUAAUAUAAUAUAAUAACUAAGUGAUUAAUCAAAUGUUUUUUAAAGACUUAGACUUUUAUAUAAAGUUAGCUUCUGCCCAAUGAUAUAUUAAAUGGCAGUCUUAGCGUGAGGACAUUAAGGUAGCAAAAUAAUUUGUGCUUUUAUUAAGUUCCAGUAUGAAUGAAGUUAUUGGUUAGUUAUUUUUUUAUUUUUUAUAUGAAUUUUUAAUUGAUAUAAAAAAGUAUUAGUAUAGUUAUACAAAGAUAAGUCUUCGGAAAUUCUUUUUUAAUUAUGUUAAGUUAUAUUUAGUGUAAUUAAAAAUUUUCUAGGGCAGAAUAUUAUAUAAUUUGUUUUAUCUAUUGAUAAAUUUAUGAAUUACUCCGGAGUUAACAGAAAAUCAUACCUAAUCUAGUACUUAUAGUAAGGUAAGUUUUACAUCGAUGUUGUAUUUAAGUUUAUUAAAGAAGGAGAAAAUUUAAUUUUUAAGACUGUUCUUCUUUUAAUUAACUUAACGUGAUAUUAGUUUAAUUCAUUGUGAGAUAGAAUUGUUUAUCUUGAUAAUUAUUAAUGUAUAAUUUUAAUAGUACGAAAGGAAAAUUAAAAAAAGUUUUAAACUUUUAAAAGAAUUAAGUAAU
This 959-nucleotide ribosomal RNA is filed under the name Strongylus vulgaris. Its description in RNAcentral is "large subunit ribosomal RNA". The record is from RNAcentral. Lineage: Eukaryota; Metazoa; Nematoda; Chromadorea; Rhabditida; Strongylidae.